GCCGGGUGUGGUGGCACAUGCCUGUAGUCCCAGCUACUUGGGAGGCUGAGGCAGGAGAAUUGCUUGAACCCAGGAGGCGGAGGUUGCAGUGAGCCGAGAUCAUGCCACUGCACUCCAUCCUGGGUGACAGAGCGAGACUCUGUCUCAA
Pongo abelii (Sumatran orangutan) is the source of this 148-nucleotide unclassified non-coding RNA. It matches the Rfam family "Metazoan signal recognition particle RNA". Rfam says of the family: The signal recognition particle (SRP) is a universally conserved ribonucleoprotein. It is involved in the co-translational targeting of proteins to membranes. NCBI's taxonomy places the organism in Eukaryota, Metazoa, Chordata, Mammalia, Primates, Hominidae. The record is from Ensembl.